Non-coding RNA from Ictidomys tridecemlineatus (thirteen-lined ground squirrel), 72 nucleotides. Lineage: Eukaryota; Metazoa; Chordata; Mammalia; Rodentia; Sciuridae. The record is from Rfam.
AGGGUUGUGGCUCAGUGGUAGAGCAUGUGCCUUGCACGUGUGAGACACUGGGUUCAAUCCUCAGCACCACAU